RNAcentral lists this ribosomal RNA (377 nucleotides) under uncultured bacterium. RNAcentral's name for it is "bacterial SSU rRNA". It matches the Rfam family "Bacterial small subunit ribosomal RNA", at positions 523 to 898 of the family's 1533-position model. The record is from RNAcentral.
AUACGUAGGUGGCGAGCGUUGUUCGGAAUUACUGGGUGUAAAGGGCGUGUAGGCGGGGAUGUAAGUCAGAUGUGAAAUACCAUGGCUUAACUGUGGGGCUGCAUCUGAAACUAUGUUUCUUGAGUGCCGGAGAGGAAAGCGGAAUUCCCAGUGUAGCGGUGAAAUGCGUAGAGAUUGGGAGGAACACCAGUGGCGAAGGCGGCUUUCUGGACGGUAACUGACGCUGAGGCGCGAAAGCGUGGGGAGCAAACAGGAUUAGAUACCCUGGUAGUCCACGCCGUAAACGAUGGAUACUAGGUGUAGGAGGUAUCGACCCCUUCUGUGCCGGAGUUAACACAAUAAGUAUCCCACCUGGGGAGUACGGCCGCAAGGUUGAA